This 403-nucleotide ribosomal RNA is filed under the name Acidobacteriota bacterium. RNAcentral's name for it is "Acidobacteria bacterium partial 16S ribosomal RNA". It matches the Rfam family "Bacterial small subunit ribosomal RNA", at positions 355 to 776 of the family's 1533-position model. The record is from RNAcentral. Lineage: Bacteria; Pseudomonadati; Acidobacteriota.
UGGGGAAUAUUGCACCAUGGGCGAAAGCCUGAUGCAGCAACGCCGCGUGAGCGAUGAAGGCCUUCGGGUCGUAAAGCUCUGUCCUCAAGGAAGAUAAUGACGGUACUUGAGGAGGAAGUCCCGGCUAACUACGUGCCAGCAGCCGCGGUAAUACGUAGGGGGCUAGCGUUAUCCGGAAUUACUGGGCGUAAAGGGUGCGUAGGUGGUUUCUUAAGUCAGAGGUGAAAGGCUACGGCUCAACCGUAGUAAGCCUUUGAAACUGGGAGACUUGAGUGCAGGAGAGGAGAGUGGAAUUCCUAGUGUAGCGGUGAAAUGCGUAGAUAUUAGGAGGAACACCAGUUGCGAAGGCGGCUCUCUGGACUGUAACUGACACUGAGGCACGAAAGCGUGGGGAGCAAACAGG